Long non-coding RNA from Pristis pectinata (smalltooth sawfish), 1961 nucleotides. RefSeq lists it as uncharacterized. The record is from RefSeq and is a predicted model, not a curated record. NCBI's taxonomy places the organism in Eukaryota, Metazoa, Chordata, Chondrichthyes, Rhinopristiformes, Pristidae. The transcript has 4 exons.
CGCACAGUGAGCGAGAAAGGCUGGUUUGUGACUGUGUCAACCACUGACCCAUCAAGAAUCACAACAUGAGGAACUCACCUCCCCCAAGAUAUGCUUCAUUCGUUUGCUGGACUGGUUCUUAAAACAAAAAACAAUAUGCAACAAAAUAGUAUGAAACAUCGCGCUAAAACUGAGAUACUAACAAUGUUCUGACGGAUCGAAGCUGGUUUCACAGAAGGCAACUAUGUCCCUUGCAUAUAAGUCAAUGGAAGUCAGUUCUAUGUUAUAUGUAAGUCUGGGUGAUCACGAGCCGUGGGCGUAAGAACAGCGUAUGUUUUCGGCUAAAUAUAAACUACCUGUGAUAUGGACCAGGGUGUAAGUCUCCUCUCGAAUCACGUCCUGGUAAUCAGAUAAACCAAUGAUAUCUCAAAGCAAAAUCAAUGCUUCCCUGCUACAAAUGACACGAAUUUAGAAUACUUGCAUCGACGCUAACAUGCACAGAGGACGCACAUCGCCAUUCGUUUGGAACCUCUUUCGUUUUUGGCUCAAGUUGGACGUGAAAUAAACUUUUGGAAACAUUAGUUCAAUGUCCUACGGAGUCACGGAGAAUCUCGAAGUCGUUUGCAACAGCGUUAAAGAGGCACAACAGGGCAACAUGAAGUUCAUGACUUGAUUUUAUUGUGCUAUCUGUUGCUUUAUUUUACUUAUCCUGGACUAAUGAGGAACAUCCUGAAAAUGAUCUGUGGCGGAGGAAAAAACAAGUUCGAAACUUACAAGCGAGGGGAAGAUCAAAAUGACUUAGGGACAAAUAUUCACAAGGCGGUUUGAUUUUUAGAUCCCGGUGGAAUCACGUACAUCGCGGGGUUUAUCUUGAACGCCAAUAAACAGUGCUUUCUAAGCGAGUCAAAUGCAAACAGUGAUAUUAUUUACUGUACGGUGUUGCACAGAAUUAAACAAGGAAAAAGCAGAGGCAAUUUACUUCACCAUCUCUCACCACCCCCGUCCCGCCCAACUAUCACUGUUAAGAGUUUAAACUCUGCGAAUAGGUGUUCCGAGCGGACCCCCCGGCACAACGCUUGCAAAGGUUGAACAAUUCAUUAGCUGCAAUAUGUCACAUGCUCUGGAGCGCCAGCUUUCGGGUUGCAUUUGAAAUUAUAAAUCACACCAGACAGCAAUAGACCAGAAACCCGCCAGCGGGUGAAGGAACCAAUCAUCAACGCCAAAUUGAAGCGUCUUUAAUCUGCAAUUCAAGAAAGGUGGAACAAAGUUGCAUAAAAUAAUUAAUUCAGGAAAACAAUGAAAAGGUGGUAGAGGGGUGAGAAGAGGCACAUAUGAUUUGCAAACUGCCUGAGUAAUCACCAAUGCUCUCCCAUUAUCAGGUGUAUCGUGGUUUAAUAUUGCCCAGUCCUUCUGCUCUGGGGAUGGGAGGAUCGGUUAUGAUGGUGGGGUUGCGCAUGCGUUAGUAACACCCACGUGACGAUUAGGUGGCAAGGAGGGAGUCCUGGUUGGAACAGAAGACAAAGGGAAAGGUAAGGCAGGAAGAUAAACAUGCUGCCUUCUGAACCAAGCCUACCUUCCAGACUCCUGAUAAUAAUAUUAAUGUGCACACAAUGGCGCUAAUUUGUAUUCUGGCUGAGUGCCAUUAUUGAAUUGUCAGUCAAUUAAGGAUUAAUGGGAAAAUACAAGUCCAGGAGGUAAAAUUUGUUGGUGUUCAGGAUACAACAGAUAGGUCACUGCCACGGUUUAGGAAUAACAACUAGUUGAUUUAAAAAAAAAGUGACAUCUUAGACACAACUCCAGGAUUGUACACCUUGCCACUGUCAAUUAUAAAUGUGGUUUUCAUGGGUUCCUUAAUAUUAAGUGUAAUAUUAGCAAUAUUUCAAUAUUCUUUAUACUGGCAACUUUUGUAGUCCAUUGUCAGUUAUCAAUUCCAUUAGACUAUUAUAUAUUCCAAAUCUUAUAACUAUUUUCCUGUUUCUUGU